GAUUAACGCUGGCGGCGUGCCUAACGCAUGCAAGUCGAGCGGCAGCGCGUUUUACACUGUAUUCUGGAAGCUUCUAGUUGAAAGAGAAGAUUUAUUCAAGAAUUUUGUGUAAAAUGUCGGCGAGCGGCGGACGGCUGAGUAACGCGUGGGAACGUACCCCAAAGUGAGGGAUAACGCAUCGAAAGGCGUGCUAAUACCGCAUAUGGUCUUCGGCUUAAAGCCUUCGGGCGCUUUGGGAACGGCCUGCGUAAGAUUAGAUAGUUGGUGGGGUAAUGGCCUACCAAGUCGACGAUCUUUAACUGGUUUGAGAGGAUGAUCAGUCAGACUGGAACUGAGACACGGUCCAGACUCCUACGGGAGGCAGCAGUGAGGAAUCUUCCACAAUGGGCGAAAGCCUGAUGGAGCAACGCCGCGUGCAGGAUGAAGGCCUUCGGGUUGUAAACUGCUUUUAUAAGUGAGGAUUAUGACAGUAACUUAUGAAUAAGGAUCGGCUAACUACGUG
Molecule: ribosomal RNA, 502 nt
Filed under: uncultured bacterium
Lineage: Bacteria
Description: partial 16S ribosomal RNA
Rfam family: Bacterial small subunit ribosomal RNA
Source: RNAcentral